Molecule: ribosomal RNA, 2029 nt
Filed under: Salmonella enterica subsp. enterica serovar Enteritidis
Lineage: Bacteria; Pseudomonadati; Pseudomonadota; Gammaproteobacteria; Enterobacterales; Enterobacteriaceae
Description: partial 23S ribosomal RNA
Rfam family: Bacterial large subunit ribosomal RNA
Source: RNAcentral
CCGGCUUACCAACCCGAUGCAAACUGCGAAUACCGGAGAAUGUUAUCACGGGAGACACACGGCGGGUGCUAACGUCCGUCGUGAAGAGGGAAACAACCCAGACCGCCAGCUAAGGUCCCAAAGUCAUGGUUAAGUGGGAAACGAUGUGGGAAGGCCCAGACAGCCAGGAUGUUGGCUUAGAAGCAGCCAUCAUUUAAAGAAAGCGUAAUAGCUCACUGGUCGAGUCGGCCUGCGCGGAAGAUGUAACGGGGCUAAACCAUGCACCGAAGCUGCGGCAGCGACACUGUGUGUUGUUGGGUAGGGGAGCGUUCUGUAAGCCUGUGAAGGUGUGUCGUGAGGCAUGCUGGAGGUAUCAGAAGUGCGAAUGCUGACAUAAGUAACGAUAAAGCGGGUGAAAAGCCCGCUCGCCGGAAGACCAAGGGUUCCUGUCCAACGUUAAUCGGGGCAGGGUGAGUCGACCCCUAAGGCGAGGCCGAAAGGCGUAGUCGAUGGGAAACGGGUUAAUAUUCCCGUACUUGGUGUUACUGCGAAGGGGGGACGGAGAAGGCUAUGUUGGCCGGGCGACGGUUGUCCCGGUUUAAGCGUGUAGGUGUGUGUUCCAGGUAAAUCCGGUUCACUUUAACACUGAGGCGUGACGACGAGGCACUACGGUGCUGAAGCAACAAAUGCCCUGCUUCCAGGAAAAGCCUCUAAGCAUCAGGUAACAUCAAAUCGUACCCCAAACCGACACAGGUGGUCAGGUAGAGAAUACCAAGGCGCUUGAGAGAACUCGGGUGAAGGAACUAGGCAAAAUGGUGCCGUAACUUCGGGAGAAGGCACGCUGACACGUAGGUGAAGUGAUUUACUCAUGGAGCUGAAGUCAGUCGAAGAUACCAGCUGGCUGCAACUGUUUAUUAAAAACACAGCACUGUGCAAACACGAAAGUGGACGUAUACGGUGUGACGCCUGCCCGGUGCCGGAAGGUUAAUUGAUGGGGUCAGCGCAAGCGAAGCUCCUGAUCGAAGCCCCGGUAAACGGCGGCCGUAACUAUAACGGUCCUAAGGUAGCGAAAUUCCUUGUCGGGUAAGUUCCGACCUGCACGAAUGGCGUAAUGAUGGCCAGGCUGUCUCCACCCGAGACUCAGUGAAAUUGAACUCGCUGUGAAGAUGCAGUGUACCCGCGGCAAGACGGAAAGACCCCGUGAACCUUUACUAUAGCUUGACACUGAACAUUGAGCCUUGAUGUGUAGGAUAGGUGGGAGGCUUUGAAGUGUGGACGCCAGUCUGCAUGGAGCCGACCUUGAAAUACCACCCUUUAAUGUUUGAUGUUCUAACGUGGACCCGUUACCCGGGUUGCGGACAGUGUCUGGUGGGUAGUUUGACUGGGGCGGUCUCCUCCUAAAGAGUAACGGAGGAGCACGAAGGUUGGCUAAUCCUGGUCGGACAUCAGGAGGUUAGUGCAAUGGCAUAAGCCAGCUUGACUGCGAGCGUGACGGCGCGAGCAGGUGCGAAAGCAGGUCAUAGUGAUCCGGUGGUUCUGAAUGGAAGGGCCAUCGCUCAACGGAUAAAAGGUACUCCGGGGAUAACAGGCUGAUACCGCCCAAGAGUUCAUAUCGACGGCGGUGUUUGGCACCUCGAUGUCGGCUCAUCACAUCCUGGGGCUGAAGUAGGUCCCAAGGGUAUGGCUGUUCGCCAUUUAAAGUGGUACGCGAGCUGGGUUUAGAACGUCGUGAGACAGUUCGGUCCCUAUCUGCCGUGGGCGCUGGAGAACUGAGGGGGGCUGCUCCUAGUACGAGAGGACCGGAGUGGACGCAUCACUGGUGUUCGGGUUGUCAUGCCAAUGGCACUGCCCGGUAGCUAAAUGCGGAAGAGAUAAGUGCUGAAAGCAUCUAAGCACGAAACUUGCCCCGAGAUGAGUUCUCCCUGAGACUUUAGGUCUCCUGAAGGAACGUUGAAGACGACGACGUUGAUAGGCCGGGUGUGUAAGCGCAGCGAUGCGUUGAGCUAACCGGUACUAAUGAACCGUGAGGCUUAACCUUACAACGCCGAAG